RNAcentral lists this long non-coding RNA (365 nucleotides) under Equus caballus (horse). Its description in RNAcentral is "lncRNA (ENSECAG00000056555.1)". The record is from RNAcentral. Lineage: Eukaryota; Metazoa; Chordata; Mammalia; Perissodactyla; Equidae.
UGUAACUUUGGCUGGCACUCUGCAGAGGCAAGGGGAGCUGCAGGUUCAGUCGCAGCCCCUCCUACGUGUGCUAUUACUUGUCAAACACAAAGCGAAGGGAAUGUAAUCAUCUGCCCGUGCUUGAAGUCCCCAUAUUGGCCCAGCCUUUCCUGGGGAAAGCUUAUCCCUCUACCAGAAGACAGAAGACAGAAGAAAGGUAUUUAACAGGACAAUCCCUAUACACAGAUUUAGGCUACACUUGAGAUGCAAGCCAAAGAAUGAAGAAGUAGCAUCUGAUAGGGGAAGAAGCCCAUUGGAAGAGUGUGCAUUAGCAAAUCAAUAUCCCAAUUGCCAUGCUGGCGCCUCCAAAACUUCCCAUUCACGCU